GAUGAACGCUGGCGGCGUGCCUAAUACAUGCAAGUCGAGCGAACAGACGAGGAGCUUGCUCCUCUGACGUUAGCGGCGGACGGGUGAGUAACACGUGGAUAACCUACCUAUAAGACUGGGAUAACUUCGGGAAACCGGAUCUAAUACCGGAUAAUAUAUUGAACCGCAUGGUUCAAUAGUGAAAGACGGUUUUGCUGUCACGUAUAGAUGGAUCCGCGCCGCAUUAGCUAGUUGGUAAGGUAACGGCUUACCAAGGCAACGAUGCGUAGCCGACCUGAGAGGGUGAUCGGCCACACUGGAGCUGAGACACGGUCCAGACUCCUACGGGAGGCAGCAGUAGGGAAUCUUCCGCAAAGGGCGAAAGCCUGACGGAGCAACGCCGCGUGAGUGAUGAAGGUCUUCGGAUCGUAAAACUCUGUUAUUAGGGAAGAACAAAUGUGUAAGUAACUAUGCACGUCUUGACGGUACCUAAUCAGAAAGCCACGGCUAACUACGUG
RNAcentral lists this ribosomal RNA (497 nucleotides) under uncultured bacterium. RNAcentral describes it as "partial 16S ribosomal RNA". It matches the Rfam family "Bacterial small subunit ribosomal RNA", at positions 28 to 507 of the family's 1533-position model. The record is from RNAcentral.